RNAcentral lists this RNase P RNA (390 nucleotides) under Treponema sp. Its description in RNAcentral is "RNase P RNA component class A". It matches the Rfam family "Bacterial RNase P class A". Rfam says of the family: Ribonuclease P (RNase P) is a ubiquitous endoribonuclease, found in archaea, bacteria and eukarya as well as chloroplasts and mitochondria. Its best characterised activity is the generation of mature 5'-ends of tRNAs by cleaving the 5'-leader elements of precursor-tRNAs. The record is from RNAcentral. Lineage: Bacteria; Pseudomonadati; Spirochaetota; Spirochaetia; Treponematales; Treponemataceae.
CAAACGGGAUAUAACCGCGUAAGUUUAUCCUGAUGAAAAGAUAAAUUUAUGAGAGAAAGUCCGGGCUCCUUCGGAAAAAAUGCCGGAUAAGAACCGGGCGUGUGCCGGCAGCUGCAUAAUUUCUUGCAUAGCCCGGCAUUACGACAGAUAGUGCAGCAGAAAGUAAACCGCCUGGAAACAGGUAAGGGUGAAAGGGUGGUGUAAGAGACCACCGGUUAUCUGGUAACAGAUAAUGCGGGUAAACCUCAUUUGGAGCAAGGCCGAGCAGCAGUUUGUUAUUCCGAGCUUAUACUGCGGGUAGGCCGCUUGAGCCUUAUGGUAACAUAAGGUUCAGAUAGAUGGUUAUUGGAGAAAUCCAGACAGAACCCGGCUUAUUGUCCCGUUUGUUUU